UCAUGUCACAUGAUCUUGUGACCUGCGCUAGCCUAGCUUUACUUUGCGGUUCAGUGUUUGCAAACAAACAUUAGCCCGUUUGGUAAAAUACAUAGCACAAUUUUGUUAUUUUCCCACAGGUUCUUUAGCGAUUAGUCCCACCUGGCUAAGGUGCAAUGUCGUCGUGGGGACAAGGCGGCAGACGGCCUCAACCCAAACGAAGGUAGUGUUAAACCUCUUCGACCAUUUCGAAGACCAGCACCAUACCCCGUGAGAGAAGACUGGAUGAACGACCACAAGGACUCUGAGCAGUAGUUAACUUGAUUACCCCAAAUCGAUAGGUCACUGUUUGCAGGACCGCGGCCUCUGUGGAAAUGAUUUACCUGCAGGCGGAGUUGGGCCUGACCCGGGCCCUACAAGAUCUCCGCUCCGACGGUUCCACCUUAUGUAUUCUCGUCCAACAGACCAAUGUAGCUCUGUCCUCGUGCACAGUAAUCAAAUUUUCAGAAUCCCUCAAAAUCUCCCGCAACAUGCCCAAGGAACAUGCCAUGGACUUUGUGUGGGCUUGGGAAGCGGAUGCAGCAGAAUGACCCUGCAGAAACGGGGGCGCAGGUGGCCGAGCUGGUGGAUGACUACCUAGAGAGGGAGAAGGUGGAGAAGCUGUGCCCUCUGACACCCGCCAGCUGCUCUUCCUGGCCGAUGGAGUCCACCUGUACCCCGAGGAGCUGAGCACCAUUGCAGAGUAUCUCCACAACCGCCAGGACCCAUCUGCAAGCCACGUCCACUGAGACAGGUGAUGGCCCCCUUCCUGAGAGGACGAAGAUGUUGCCUCCUGGUUUAGGGAAACCCCCACCGCUGCUACCCAUGGCCCCCUCAUGGUCCCUCGCGCCCCCCUUUCUACACACGGCCUCCACGGUCCAUUACAUCGAGGACCACCACGGCCCCCGAGGAGCCCCACCCUCACUGAAGAGCCUUCAUAUGGGACCCCAGCCUGGGCUGUUCACCUGUCCAGGUGGUCUCCCUAACACACCCAGGCGCUGAGAGAACAUCAUCUCUAGAACACCAUGGACAGACGGCAGAAAGCAUCAGGACUCAUUGUCAUACUGGCCUGAGGAGUGGGAUCUCCUUCAGCUCAGUGCCCUCUGCUGCCCCCUCAGGAACCCACACUAGCACUCCUCAUCCAGAGCCAUGUGUAGAUAGAGGAUCCAUAGUUCAGCAAGCUGAAAUGGAAUAUUGUGAGUUGCCUUGGACUAUUUGGGAGUUCACAGCUCAAUUUUUAUGAGUGUGAGUUGACCCACUACUAUGUUCAGGAGCCAGUCAGAACAAAUGAUCCGAUUUUAAGUUUCAUUCUUUGUUUUAUAUUUGUCUGUUUUUGUCUUUUAACUGGAAAUUGUCUGUAAAAUGCUGGUAAUACAUAACACAAUAAAGGCUAAACAAGCCCAAAUAUCU
Non-coding RNA from Salvelinus sp. IW2-2015, 1428 nucleotides. Lineage: Eukaryota; Metazoa; Chordata; Actinopteri; Salmoniformes; Salmonidae. The record is from RefSeq and is a predicted model, not a curated record.